RNAcentral lists this small RNA (481 nucleotides) under Pan troglodytes (chimpanzee). RNAcentral's name for it is "processed transcript". Lineage: Eukaryota; Metazoa; Chordata; Mammalia; Primates; Hominidae. The record is from RNAcentral.
CUCUACAUCUUCUCCACCAUCAGCAAGAUGGGGCUUGAGGCCACCAUCGCCAUGCUGCUGCUCAGCGGAGCCCUGGUCAGUGGGCCCUACGCGCUCAUCACCACCGCCGUCUCCGCCGACCUGGGGACUCAUAAAAGUCUGAAAGGCAACGCGCACGCCCUCUCCACCGUGACGGCCAUCAUUGACGGGACCGGCUCUGUAGGAGCAGCCCUGGGCCCCCUGCUGGCUGGGCUCCUCUCCCCGUCCGGCUGGAGCAAUGUGUUUUACAUGCUGAUGUUUGCAGAUGCCUGUGCCUUACUGGAAAUUCUAAAACUCAACUUCCCCACCACAUACAAAAUCAAAUACCGACUCUCAACCUAUGAACUUACUAGGUUUAAAUGGCUGUUCUUUGGAUCAUCUGUGGGUUCUUUUAAUGCCUGAAUGUUCUAAUGAAGCCUCCAGAUGGAUUUCCACUAAGUAGCAGUAAAAUUCCUGUCAUUAC